UACGGCAAAAGUGAAAGGAUUUUGCAGACGUAAUUAUGGUGCCUAAUCAGUUGACUUUGAGUUAAUCAAAAGGGAGCUUAUGCUAGGUAGGCUUGACCUGAUCAGGAAAGCCCUUUAAAAGAGGGACGAGGCCUUCUCUGAAGAGAGACUGGAGGCAUCAGAGACUCUCUUUCUCCAGUACGAGCUUUGAAGAAGCGAACUUCUAUAUUCUACAGCUGCAAGGAAAUGAAUUUUGCCAGCACCCUGAGGGAGCUUAGAAACAGAUCCUUCCUGCGUCAAGCCUUUAGGUGAAAUGGUGCCCCCCUCACAACUUCUCACUCAUCUCACGUGUACCGAAUACCCUCUGUGAGUCAGAUACUCUGCUGGUCAUCCAGGACAUCAAGAUGUGAGGACAUGGCUCCUGUGCUCAUGGAACUCGUAACUACUCAUUCUAGUUUGCGUGAAAGGACAGACAAGAUUGAUCUUCCAUCAGUGGAAUAGUCCAAGUUUAAUUGGUGAACCAUACCCCAGUAAUCCCGCUCCCCACCCUCCAUAGAGACCCUUCCACGAUAGGGUGACAAUUUAUAAAUUACCCGAGUUCAUCACGCUAGAAUAAGAGAUGCCUGAUGGUCUAUGGAUGCAUUCGAGGUAGUUCCUGCUCAAGGAGCUCCCCAAAGUCCUGGCACGCUAGAUAUUGCAGGGGUCCCAGAAACCAAGAGAGACCACCUGCAUAACUAUUGGAAGUUUCUGCUGUUUCUACUGUGUUAUCUAAAGCCUUGAAAAAACAUACCCUACAGUCAAAUCCUGGUUUCUUCAGCUGCCGUCUUUAUCACGUUGCUACGUUAUAUAUCCCUUCCUGAACCUCAACAUCCUUAUCUGUAAAAUGAAGAUAAUAGUGUCUUUUAUUGGUUUGUUUAUGUAUCCAUUCAUCCAGAAAACAUUUUUUUAAAUCCCUACCUCAUCCCAGGUAUUGAGCUAGGCACUAGAUAACCAGUGUUCAACAAGAUAGACACUGUUCCUGCCCUCGUGAACCUUACAGCCUGGGGAGGGAAAGAGGCAAUAAA
This 1043-nucleotide long non-coding RNA is filed under the name Equus caballus (horse). RNAcentral describes it as "lncRNA (ENSECAG00000051732.1)". Lineage: Eukaryota; Metazoa; Chordata; Mammalia; Perissodactyla; Equidae. The record is from RNAcentral.